UACGUAGGGCGCAAGCGUUGUCCGGAAUUAUUGGGCGUAAAGAGCUCGUAGGCGGUCUGUUACGUCCGCUGUGAAAACCCAUAGGGCUUAACCCUGGGCUUGCAGUGGAUACGGGCAGACUAGAGGCAGGUAGGGGAGAAUGGAAUUCCCGGUGUAGCGGUGAAAUGCGCAGAUAUCGGGAGGAACACCGGUGGCGAAGGCGGUUCUCUGGGCCUGACCUGACGCUGAGGAGCGAAAGCGUGGGGAGCGAACAGG
Molecule: ribosomal RNA, 255 nt
Filed under: uncultured bacterium
Lineage: Bacteria
Description: partial 16S ribosomal RNA
Rfam family: Bacterial small subunit ribosomal RNA
Source: RNAcentral